ACACACACACACACACAUACACACACAGAACAACAACAAGUAACAAUCAGUCAUGUUUUGAUUUGACAGGUAGGGCUAUGACAACACACACUUACAUGCACACACAGACACACACUCUGUCUCGGAUUGAAAUGGUCUUUUUGCUGAAUGACUGAAUGACGCUCAAUAAAGUAACAAGUCCAAUCCACUUCCUGCCAGACGUCUGGGGCCGAGCCACGAACAGAAGCUGGUGGUGGAGAUAGGGAGAAGAUUAGCGUCUGGCUAGGGGAGGAGCUACGCUAGGCUAGGAGCUGAGCUAGGGGGAGAUCUGCCAGGGUUGGGCCAUUUGUCUGCAGAUCUUAACCAAGCUGUUCUGUGGAGCUAUUAAGGAAAAUUGAUUUAGUGGAAAAACGAUUUGCACACCGCUGUCUGUCAUCUCCAACGAGACGUGGAAAUGAAAUCAGGAAGAAAGGGCCACUAAUCCACACAGCUCGCAGACUGCCCUGGUUCCUGAUCAAGGGAAACCACAGCGAACGAGACGAAGCGAAGCGAAUGUUCUCCUCGCGUUACUCCGGCGAGGCUGCUCGCGUGAACCACUUCAUCAAAAACUCACGGCGAAGUUCAAAUAUUUCCACUCAAGCGAACACGCGAAUGAGUGUGAACGCAGUCAGAUUCCCAGCAGACACACUCACCAACUUCUGAGACAGGGAAGGGCAAGGAGUAAAACUGUUCUGUGUUUCGGACCCUGGGGACUAGCAACACUCACGCAGCUCAGAGCUAGGACAGCGGGCCGGGCGGGGGCCGGGAGGAAAGAGGACACGGAGACAGAGAUUCAUUGGUCCGGGGACCAAUGAGCAUGAAGAAGCUCAGGUCAGCUGACUCUGGGGACUCGGCGAGAGCAGAGCCCCCCCUCCUGAGCGCGGGGAAGACGAGUGGCUUGCUGGAGAGCAGAUGUGUUAGGGUGUUAGGAUGUAAUGGUAAGAUAUUGAAGAAGCAAUUCAUGCUGUGUUUGUGUUCGUCUGCACUGUCCUUUAAAAGGACUGUGAUAGAAUCUGAGAUUCCUUCUCAAUACGGCCUCUUUGGCCGUUAGGUGAACUGCGUUCGUUCAAGCUGGGGCAUGGCGGCACCCGAGGGCGAGCUCCCUGGGUUGAGAGAGAUAUGACCAGACGUCUGGAGGCACUGAGGGGAUUUGAUGACACUUCCUUUUUUCCGGCAAAACUGUCCCGGCUUUGCAAAGGAGAGAGGACAACAAUUCCUUCAAGUCACCUGGGUUGUACCUUAUUAGCAAGCCAGCUCAUGAGGAAAAUACCUUGUGAGGACGCAACCAAUAACUAAUGAGCAUGCUAGCUUAUAAGGGCGCUACAUUAUGAGGAUGCUAUCUAAUGAGGGCAUUAGCUAAUGAGCAUGCUACCUUAUAAGGGCGCUAUGUUUUGAGGAAGCCAUCUUAUGAGGACACCAGUAAUGAGCAGGCGCAUUAUACGUUAUGAUGAUACCGUCUUAUGGGGACAUUAGCUAAUGAGCAUGCUACCUUAUAAGCGUGCUAUGUUAUGAGGCUGCACACUUACGAGGACAUAACUGACGAGAUGAGGACUAACAAACUAACGAGAACAUGUUCCCAAGAGCCCAUUCUCCACACACACACACACACACACACACACACACAGACACACACACACACACACACACACACACACACACACACAGAUGGUCCUCCGGUCGUUUUAACGUGGUUUUAACAUGUUACACUGUAGUCAGCGUAAGAACCAUUGUUUCCAUGGCGAUACUGCUCGUUAGCGGCGGCGGUCAUGGUAGGGUCCUCUGACCAACGGAUAUGAGGAGACGACUAAAUGUGGGUCGGAUGUGCAUUGAUCCAACAGGAUAUCAUUUGCGAUAGUGGGGGGACUUGGAGGACACAGCAACGAUGCUAUCAAUAUUAUUUGUAAUUGGAAUGAUAAGCCCCCCCCCCCCCCUCCACCCUCAGUCUGAGUGAGCCUCAAUGGCCAAGCGGAACAGCGCCGUUGUUGUAAAGCAGGGACCCUGGGUCGAACCUCCUCCAUGCCUCUGAAGGACCGUUUGAAUAUUGAACGGCACGUUGCGUACAUCAAUACAUCAGUGCCACUCUUUUUCUUUUUACUAUGUUGUGCUGUUUAGUUUUCCUAGCUGCUCCGAUUUUGAUUGCAUGCUUUGAUCGUCCUCGGCCCCGCUCGAGAGUCGCUGUGCAUAAAGGUGUCGGCUAAAUGUCUGAAUACAAAUGUGAGGCAUGAUUAUUGUUUUUUGUUUUUACAGAAAGGAAUUCCAUUAAUGUGUCGUUUGAUUCAGGGAAUAAGGAGCAGCAGAAGCUGUUCGGUCCGUCGCUGCCGGGCUCGGUGGCGUAUCUUUGAAGUGAAAGGUUUGUAUUCAGAAGAGGUCGGGAUUGGCCUGGCUCCGCCCGCCUAAGUAGUACUCCCGCUCAAUUUUAAUUUCCCUUCAGUACUACUGCUGCGUUUUAAUAUCCAUCCGUCUCGGAGGUCCGAGGACGUUGCCUAGCGACACGCACAAACACGCCCCUUUUCCUCGGAAGGCGAACUCGCCACUCGGAUGAACUCAGUGGUGACCGAGCGAAAUUCCGAGACAGAAUUCAAGAUGGCUGCGCCCAUCGUGACUUGAAGUAUGAACUGUUUUCAUUGUGCUUGGACCACUAUGGUGGUUUAAACGGCAAUUUCAAUCACUCGUAUUACUGCAAUACCUUACUGCGUCCGUAUCUAUAAGUAGGCUAUAGCCUAUAGCCUACUUAUUUUGGAGCGCCUGGUCCUCUGCCAAUGCUACCGCGACAACAGCUUUCCGGGGGGCGUCCAUGUUUUCCUCCAACGACCGAGCGAAAUAAUAAAACGCUUGAGGUGUGGGCGUGGCGUCAAUUCCGAGAUCCGAGUCGGUUUGCAGAGAAUACUCGAACGCAGCAUACGUCUGGGUCCGCGGAAUGUUAGUGGGUUUUCUCCGUCCACAUCGUGUGUGUCCAAUCAGCGGACAGAGGGAGUGGCUUAGAACAUGACGUUAAAAUCAGCUCUCGUUGACGGACGUCUUCACGCACUGUGUUUGGUUUGUUGACAGCCUGCGCGCAACGUGAUGCCGGCCAAACGUUAGCGAUUGGUAAUGGCAGAUCCAGAGUGUCACUGGGCAGAUCCAGUUGUAUUAAACUUCAACAGACACCCGCCUUCAAGUGAGUUAACGUUUGUCAAUUGAGUGGGUCCAGACUCUCUGUGUAAAUGAAAUGAAGUUCGAGAGUCUGGUGGGACCAGGCUAGGUCGGGAUAGUCACUCUUUAGCUCCUAGCUCCUAACAUGGAAACACCAGAACAUUUCUGGAGACCGAACAGCAGACUUUACACAGCGAAAUAAUAUUCCUCGAAGCUGAAAGAUACCUGUCCAACGUUUGUUUUCUGCGGCUCCUGCAUGUGCAAAUCAAUACGUUCACCUCGUUAGCACAAUGGUUUUAAAACCCGAGUCCCCGCCCGUGUCCGACCCGACACCAUCAGACAAAGCGCAUUGCUUUCAAGUGAAUACACUUAAGCUUGUUUCAAGUGAAGACACUUAAGCUAUCCAGCAUAGCAUCAUAAUCUCCCCAAUAUUCCCCCCUGCUGCCAAAUGAAAAGUCAAUGUCCUGAACCCCUCCUACGGCCCACGCCGGCUAAUGCUAAACACUGAUCCUCAAGGUCAGGCCGGUAAUGACCCGGCCGCCGCAACGUUAUUGCAUUCCCGCCAAAACUGCAGCAUUAGCAUUGCCGCACCGAAACGUAGCACCUGGGCUGGAAUUGGCCGAGUGAUAGAGCGCGCGCCGUUAGCAAGGGGAAAGAGCGAUAUGCUACGCUCUGGUCUGUUAUGGGCUGGCCCCACCAUCACCAUUAGCCCUGAGCUAAUGGAGUGGGCUGAUAUCCCUUUUCUGCAUCGCACAUGGACUAGCUGGGCUAAGGUGCAGGGAGGGGAGCUUUGGGAGUGAUGAAUGAUUGUAAGGAGGAUUCGGGGUAUUGAAACAGACAGAGCUGCUGUUAGUCACAGUAUUUCCCAACCUUUGGGGUUGGAAUCUCAAUUGGGGUCGCCUGAAAUGCAUUCGGACUCACAGGGAGAUUGCUGGCUCAUGAGCUAUAGAUAUUUCACGCUACAUUUUUUUAUUUGAAUAUUUUGAAAGGUAGAGGUCCCAUCUACGUAUGUGAACAGACUAAUGAUUCGUAGCAAUGGGGGAACUACUAUUAUUUCACUGGGACAUAUAUAGAUGGAUACUAGGGAUCUUCUCCUCUCAUAUAUCAAACUAUAGAAUAAUGUUUAAAGUCGGAUGGUCAGAACUCCAACCUGGAUGGUUUUGGCUUUUCACGUUCUUUCACUUCUAAUUUGUUGCGGCUAAUCAUGUUGGGGGAGAUGGGGAUCUGUUGAACAAAAGCUCAGCCAACCCUUGAAAACGAUGCAGAAGAAUCUGUAAAAGGUUCAAAUCAACACCAUGUAGUCCGGCCACUUUAGCCACAAUACAAAAAUCUGCUUCUGAACGUUUGAGAAGUUCCUCUUUUUGUUAGAAUGUCUGCCUCCCUGGCGAAACAGGUAGGAAGAUGUUUCCGGCCCUGGCUCUAGGCUGUCUCCCCCCAGAAUCUUCCAAUCUUUCCAUCGUAAAGAAGGUUGGGAAACACUGCAGCGGUGACAUCUUGCUAUGUCGUCAAGGCUAUAAUACGGUCAUGGUAUGCUAAAAUGAUGAGUUCAAAUAAAGUUGUGAUAAAGUUAACAGCAAUGAAGAGGCUAGCUAAGUGGUCGUUCCAGAAUCUUUGUAUUCAUCUUAACCUCUCCAGUAAAUCAGGUGUGAUCGUCAGCCAACAAACUGUACAUAUGUUCUGGACUGAGUCGUGUUGGCCUUAAAAUGCACAUUAAAAUGAUUGCAUUUUAAACCCUUUGGGCUUGCAUUGGCCUACCAUUAGGUCUUGCACUAACCGGUGCACAUCCUGACUGCUACCGGCCACAGUGAAUCCAAAUGUGCAGAAAAAAUAAUUGAUUGAAAAUACGGCACAAAAAGGUUGAAAUACCGCACUGGAACAGGCGCUCUCUAUUCCACACAUUAAAUCAAUCAGAUCUGCAGAUCAGCAGUCGCCUACCUUUACAUCAUAGCAUUAUCUGUGCUGUCCGCUGGCUUGGUCCGUUGAAAGAAUAUAAUGGACUUCUGGAAUUGCACGUUUCAGUGUUGGGUGUAUUUGUACGUAGCCCACAUAUUGAUAGAUUACUUCUGGGCUUUUUAACGCAAAACUAAUUAAAAAGUGCUGAUGGAGCCUUCUGCCAAUAGGCCCAUGGGAGCUGAUAAAGGACUGAUAGCUUAUGAUAUAUAUUUAUUUCAAUGCAAUGUCUAUAUUAUCUGCACUGCUGCCAUUCAACAAUUACCUGUUCGUUGACUUUGAAAGGGCUUCGCGUUUCUUAUAGAUUCACAGGAUACCCCUUUUCCUUUUUUUUGUUGCAAUUAUUUAUCAUCAAAGGAUCAUCAUAGAGUUCUACAGAAUCCUUUAACUAGAAGUGAUGCUUGUAUUUCCAAAAAAGGCUCGUUUUUUUACACAUCAUCUCAACGUUGCAGUUCGACCCACUGAUGCUCUUCUAAAGGACAAGUUGGGCGGAUCUCAUUCUCCAGACGAGCGGUUGCCCAGCGCCAAUGUUUUGGGAAACAAUUUGACAGUCAAAUUAAUCACAAGGGCAGAUUCUGCUGACUUAAGCAUGCGUGACGGCUCUGUGACAUUUCAAUGUGCUUCGGGACAACAAUGAAAGUCUAUCUGGUGACUAGGCCGACAUCCAGCGUUGAAUAAAAAUACCAUCUCUUCAACCUGUUGUUCCGUUUGUCUGGUGGAUGUGAAUGGUGCAUUUCAGCGGUAACAAGGUCACAGGAUUGCUUCGUUUGUCUUUUUAAAUAAGGAUUUACGUAUCGAAGGAGCUGAUAGAAACAGCCUGCGUCAAGUUAAGAAACGACUCGGCGGCAACUGGCCAGUCUUGCACCUCCCCCUAGGGGUCACUUUGAGAACAGGAUAGAUUUGUCUCAAGCACAGCCAGGGCUGCGGGGAAGGUCACUUCAUUAAUCAACACUAAAUACCACUGUCCUCUCGCCUCCCCUGCUCCACCGCCAACCAGCAUCACUGAUUGAUCCUAAUAAUUAAUUCUGCUAAGUAGAGGGCGAGAGAGAGAGAGAGAGAGAGAGAGAGAGAGAGAGAGAGAGAGAGAGAGAGAGAGAGAGAGAGAGAGAGAGAGAGAGAGAGAGAGAGAGAGAGAGAGAGAGGAAAGGGGGUUGGAGAGA
Long non-coding RNA from Gadus macrocephalus (Pacific cod), 6260 nucleotides. RefSeq lists it as uncharacterized. The record is from RefSeq and is a predicted model, not a curated record. Lineage: Eukaryota; Metazoa; Chordata; Actinopteri; Gadiformes; Gadidae. The transcript has 3 exons.